This 55-nucleotide small RNA is filed under the name Thermoleptolyngbya sichuanensis A183. RNAcentral's name for it is "Nitrogen stress-induced RNA 1". It matches the Rfam family "Nitrogen stress-induced RNA 1". Lineage: Bacteria; Bacillati; Cyanobacteriota; Cyanophyceae; Oculatellales; Oculatellaceae. The record is from Rfam by way of RNAcentral.
UGGUAGAUGCACCCUGAUUCAAUAACCUCCGGUUUCGCGGCCGGAGGUUUUUUUU